Molecule: long non-coding RNA, 4858 nt
Organism: Passer domesticus (house sparrow)
Lineage: Eukaryota; Metazoa; Chordata; Aves; Passeriformes; Passeridae
Exons: 6
Source: RefSeq, a predicted model, not a curated record
CAAGUGAGAUUAAGCCCUUUACAAAGAAGCUAUUACAAGCUAUGAAACUGUUCUCAGCAUUAGUCUUAGUAAAAAUCAGGGUGAAAGUGUUUUUCACUGAAAGUGCUGCUGGCUCAGAUGUUCAAAGCAGGAUAUAGGGUUGGCAGAAUUUGUGGCGAAUAUCUGGUGCUUCCUGUCACAAAUAUAUAAUAUUAGCAUUUGGAUCAAAUCCUUACAUUGCUUAAAGGAUUUAUAUGAGGUAGGGCUGUACUUACCUCAUACUAGGAAGUCAAAUGAAGGAGAGGUAGGAACAUUUCCAGAGAAGGGCUGGGCUGAGGUAAGAUGCAUAGCAAUUUUCAGUAACUAAACCAAAAGAGUACAGUGCUUCAAGUCCUGAUUCAUACAGACUUUCUUUAGCUAAAUGGGAUGAACCACUGCCUACCUAUUAGUCUUUCUUGGUUUCUGGACUGGAUGCUCUGGAGAAUCUGUAGUUAAAUAAUUUUAUUUCCAACAAGAAGAAAGAUGGUUUAAAAAUAGGCCUUUGGAGAAAUCAAGCUCGAGUGAGAUAGGGAUAUGUGUGACCCAAAGUGUCAAUCCACAGUCACAGGAAGCCACGGGAUAGAUUGUAUAUGAAUAAAAAAAAAUAAAGCAAGGGAGCACCAAUUAACUGCUUUACAGACUACUGAUGGAAAUUGAGCUUUUACCUUUUUUAGAGAAAAGUAAAGGGCUUUAAGAACUUACAACGUGUCUGUGGCUUCAUGAUCAAACUGUGGCCUACUCCUGACAGAAGGCCGAUUAGCCAGGCAGGCCUCCAAUGAGGCUGCUUUCCUGAGAGAGGCAUUUCGAUUGUCAGGGGUUUAAAUGGCUGUGAGAAUGGCCUUCUACAAGGUAAACUGAGCCUCUAUUGUUGCCCUAAAGAUACUGAAUAACCAGAUCCUUUGAAGUGUAAAAACAAGAAAGAUUUUCACAACUGAUACCUUUGUCUUGGUGUCUCUGGAAAAUUGUCACAGUUUUUCUCCUAAAGGAUGUUUUGGAUGCCAGAGACCAGUCAGUAACCGGAAGAGAUGGCCUUGGGCUACAGAUGAAGGCUUGACCCUGCACACCUGAGAAGCAGCCACACAGCAACAGCAGCAGGAUCAUGGUCAAAUGAAGCUCUUUCAGGCAAAGUCACCUGUGUUUAACUGUGCCUGUUCUGGUGGGGAGCUUGUGGCAACAGCCUAAAGAAAGACUUUUGCUGCAGUCCAGCAGCAGUGCUGCUGCUGCUGCAUGCAGAGGCACAGGCUCUAACCAAGAAGGGCCACCAUGUCAGCAUCUUGAUCAGUCUCCAGGCCAAUUUUUGGUUUUGUGCUGAAGAAGAUGAAAUUCUCAUUAAGAAGGCUUUACCUUGCUGCCAGCUAAGUAAGAGCCUGCACCGUCAAACAGAGAACCAGAGGGCUCUCUUUAAAACCUGGCCAUCAGGCCUCUAAGUAGCAUCACAUAAUCCAGUUAGAUCCUGGACUGAGUGAGUAAAUGGAGUGCCAGGUGCAACUGGGAAUGAAGAAGGAGCAUGUGAGAUUUAGCAUGAUCAAAAGCAUCCUGGAGAUGGAAAUAUGCCUUUGGUUUGAGCGUUUCACUUGCCUGAAAAGCAAAAUGCAUGCCAAAAAUGAGUAAGAAAGCAUGCCUUUAAAUCAAUGCCAUUCUCAGAUUCUGUGUAAAAUCUCAUCAUCACUGAAACAGACAAGAGAAUAGAAAUCUAAAGACAGCUGGUAUGAUUAGAUUGUGGCUUAUUCCCUUCUCCCACCUGAAGAUAAUGCAGAAAUGUGAAAGGUUUCUGAUCCUGAUCCUGCUAAGUCAUCUUGCUGACAAUUAUUGAUUUGCAGGGUUGGUUGGCUGGUUGAUUUGCAUGAGUGUGUAUAUGGCUACUUACAGAGUCUACUUAAUAUUCUGAUGACAAAAGCACUCAAGAAUGACCUCCUCCCCCUCGGGAAAGGCAAGGAGGAAAGAAAGGGAUGUCUUUUUUUUUUUUUUUUUUUUUUUUGGUGCUGUUCUUCACAUUGCAAAAGCAUUUGUGCGCUUGAUUUGUAUCACUAAAAACAGUUUUCUAGGCUAAUGUGAAAUUUGUACAUAAGCCUCAGUCAAGCAAUUGUGCCUUCCAAGGGAGGUGCAUUGCACAGAGAGUUAAGUGAAUUAUUUGGAUGUUCCUAUAACUUAUAAUCAAGCAAUGUCAAGGAUCCCCAUAAUUAUAAGAUCAGUAACAUGAUGAUGAAACGGUACACAUCAAAGAAACCUGGCAUCUGCUGAAAGGAAUUAUUAUGAAAAAUAAGAAAAUUAAAGAUUCCUUGGGGCAUCAAGAGCUGCAACACUUUAAAAAUGGAAAGCUAAAGUAUAAUGAAUAUCAUAUCUACUUGGUCAGUUCAAAAGCAUUCCCUGCAAAACAAUUCUCAAAAAGCCUCCACAGCAGGCUGCAGGACACUAAGAAAGCCACAGUCUUCAGUUCUCUUUUGGGUCACAAAAGACAAAUUGCUCAAAUAACAGAAUCAUCUGCCUUCCUUGUGCACUCUCAAGUUUCCCAACUGGGUCCUUUCAAACAGCAGGAAGGGGACAAACAGCAGCAGCCCAAGAACCCAGGAUGACAAGCCACAGAGGAGGACAGAGAAAGAUUCCCACUUACACAGAGUCCUAUUGAAACCAGCAUAAAAACCCCAGCCAGAGACAGAGAUUGACAGCUUCCCUGGAAUUGAACAGCCUGGCCUGGGCAGAGCCUACCACAGAGUUAAUUCAAGUACUUGGCUGUCCUAGUCCCUGCUUUGAUCUGCUGUGAAGUCCCAAAAUGCUACUGAAAGUUACUGGAAAUCACCAAUAGCUGAAAGCCUGGGUAUGAAUAUUAUUCCUUGCUCAUUCAUGUUCCAUUUCCUCACAUAACGGGACACCACAUAUCAGAAGACCCUUUGUUCAUCAGUCCCCCAAGGAUCCAUGAUGGAAGAAAAUGAAAAUAAGUGAAACAGAAAAAAAUGUCCUUGCAAUAGAGAUUAAUGGAUAACUGCAAAGCCUCCUCAUGCAGAGAUAAAAACUAUAUAUUGGAACAGAAAAAACUAGCUUGUAAGAUAAAUUAUCAAGGAAUAAAAGGAUUAAAUAGAAAAUAUGCAGAACACAAGAGCUGUCAGAGAAGCAACUCCAUGUAAGACAAGCCACUGGCUGAAACAGCAUCAUUAACCAUACACAGGAGCAGCAGGCUGUAAUAAAACCAACAAAAGCUAGAAUCAUGGAAUCACAGCAUCAUUAAGGGUGGAAAAGACCAAGCCAUAGGGUGGGAUCAUCAAGCCCAUCCUUUAAAAGCACAGCUCCUGCCUUCACAACUCAUUCACAAUACAUGAUGUAUUAGCGGGGAGUGUUACCAAGUCACACAACACUACAGCAGCUGUGUCACUUGAUUUCUGCCUCACCAAAUUCAGAACCAGUGGCAGCACAGCUAUAUCAGCUUGCUCACACUGCAUCCCUGUAUCUUCAGGGCAAGGAAAUGAAACUGCUUCAGAUGGGAGCAGUGUGAUGUGAAGCCAGCACAUGUAUCUCUGCAAGAGCAGUAUUACACCAUGUCACCAUCCCUUCUAAAUUCUUUCUUGCUAUUUCAUGUCAAGAGAACUGGAGGUAACAUGAUUUCCAUUCCUGCCAGAGAAUAUAAUUGUCAACAUGGCAGUGCCUAUGAGAUGCGCACAGCAGGGAACAGCUGUAUAAACAUCUACAUUCACUUUGUAAACACAGACAUUUGUACAUCUCCUUGAGGUCCUCCCAGACUUGAAAUGCAUGACACUGGUUGCAAAAAUGCUGAGGUCUUUUUGAUAGUUCAGCCUUGUGUGCAGAGCAAGGGAGUGCUCACCUCAAUGGUCACAUUGCCAAAUGGAAAAUUUGCCACACAUGCCACUUGCUGGCACUGGCUGCAGCACUGACCCUUCUCUUCCACAUAGCGAAAACCCUGUGGGAAUAAAGUUUCCAUUUAUCCAUGUUAACCUGUGUCUUGUUGCUGAAGCAUCUUUGGAUCAAAGCUACACUGAAGAUGGCAGAGGAAAUGAGCCAGCCUUCUGGUUUCAAUUUUGUUGUCUUUUGAAAUCUGCUGGAACCACAUUAAGCCUGACAAUCAAAGCUGGUAAUUUUUCUGCCUUACUGAAUAAUGGCUUCUGGGUACUUCAGUUGCCAUGAGGACUCUGUCAUUGACUAUUCUUCUUUUCAGACUAACACACAAAAUAGAUCAAAUAAAUUAAUUUAGCACAUGAUUACUUGCACAAUCUGCCACCACUGCUUGGUCUGGUAUCAUUAUGUACAAGAACUAUUGCUGUCAGACAUGUGAAGAUUUUCUCCUCUUGUUUUAGGUAGGCAUUGGUCUUCUGGUGGUUGUGGGUGUGGCUGGCUUCAGGAAAAAGCAUUAUGAAAGGUUUCAUCCAUUUUUAACAUUGGUGGUGUAUCUGUCCUUAUCUGGGCAUGAAUGCAAAAGCAACCACCUUACUUAUAUUCAGUAACAGACUGAACAACUUGAGUGCUAAUUCUCACAAGUACUGAGAAGGAAUUGGGUAUUCCCCAUCCACAAGUGAAAGUGUCUGGAAACAUAAACCACUGUGGAGUUUCCUCACAAUCUUCAUUUAUGAGCUGACAAUGGACAACAUGAACAGAAUGACACAAACAUCUUUCAGCAGUCAGACUUUAACAGGUUUGCAAUCAUUUCCCCUCAGGGCACUUUUUCAAGGGUGACCUCUUAAAUUUGUAGGAGUGAAAAUAACAGCACCCUAAAAGGGACUUUUACAAAACAAUAAAUAGAAGAUUCUAUCCUGCAGCGUUGCACAGAUAAAGCAGUUACACUGCCCUGUUUCAACUGAACAGCCAUUGUGGUCAAGGAGGUGCUGACCUGCUG